This 623-nucleotide long non-coding RNA is filed under the name Rattus norvegicus (Norway rat). Its description in RNAcentral is "long non-coding RNA NONRATT021703". The record is from RNAcentral. Lineage: Eukaryota; Metazoa; Chordata; Mammalia; Rodentia; Muridae.
GUGUGCCUUUUGUGGCACCAGCCUUGGCCUUGGGCUAGGGACUUGGGCAACAAAUCGGUACGGUAAGGAACAGAAUGAAUGGCUGCUUCCUGACAGUGUCCCAGGCCAGGAGAGUCUCCCACACUCUAGUCUCACAUGGCCAGUGUUUACCUCUUAGAGCCGAAUGACCUUUCUGCUGCAGAUUCCCCCACUAGGGAAACACUACUCCCAACGCUGGGCCCAGGAGGAUCUGCUAGAGGAGCAGAAGGAUGGGGCUCGAGCAGCAGCUGUGGCUGACAAGAAGAAAGGCCUCAUAGGACCGCUGACAGAACUGGACACAAAAGGUAAGCCUCAGCCUCCUGUCCACCCCAGGCCUGGAUCUGAGUUCCCAGGACUUCAGGCCUCCUGCUGUUCUCCCUGUCCACUGCAGAUGUGGAUGCCCUGCUGAAGAAGUCUGAGGCCCAGCAUGAACAGCCAGAAGACGGGUGUCCCUUUGGUGCCCUGACACAGCGCCUGCUGCAGGCCCUAGUGGAGGAAAAUAUUAUUUCCCCUAUGGAGGACUCUCCGAUACCUGACAUGUCUGGGAAAGAAUCAGGGGCUGAUGGAGCAAGCACCUCCCCCCGCAAUCAGAACAAACCUUUCAG